GCCAGACGGGCGCUGCUCCCUGGGUUGUUGCCUUGGGAAUGAGGCGACCUGAUCAGGGAUGGUGCGGCCAGGUCGAUCGACCUUUUGGGACCUUUGUCUCCCUAUUCUUAAAUCGAAGGAGGAGCUGGCUGAGGUCACUGCCAGCGCUGAUCCCCGGGUGACCUCCUUCUCAGAACCUCUGCUGUGAGGACUGGACGUAGGGGGCUUGGCACGGGUAGAGGCAACAGGAGCUGCCAGGGACAGGGAGGAGAGACGAUGCAGAGUCACUGCUGAAGUAAGUCAGGGUCCGAGAACCCAAACCCCAGAUUAAAACAGAUAACACAAAUUAACAACAGGAUGGGUUCAAGGAGAAUCCUUAGAGACCGCUGGGCCAGGGUGUCAACAGCCACAGCGGGGAGAGCUCUGAGGUUCAGGAUAUGGGAAACGUGUCCCCGAAAUGCCAGCCUUCGGGUGACCGUAGAGGCUCCAUGGGUCCACUUGGCCAGUACUGUGGGGGCCCUCAAGUCCUGGGCCUGCAGGGGAAAGCACAGUUUUCUAACAGCCAUCCGUACUGAGCUGCUGCUUCUGGGCACAGUGACCCAGAGUCUGGGGGUCUGAGCACCUCUAAAGGCUGGGUUAAUGGGUUCUGAAGAUCUGCUUAGUGACGUCAGUCAGGACAAGGACUGAAAGGCAAAACAGGAGGGCAAAACAGGUAGCCGGAGAGUGGCGCAGGGAGCGCAACACAUGCCUGGGCUCCCACCUCUGUUAGAAGGCCACCCACUGAGCAUACCCCAUCCUCCCUAGGGGCCUCCCAGUGCUGGGCUGGUGAAAAGAGGGCAGAGAGGAGAUGGGGCGUGGGCAAAUCACUUCCUCUCUGGGCCUCAAUUUCCCCAUCUGAGAGGCAUCCAACUCUAGGGAAUCAUAAUGUCUUUUUCUAAGUUGUAAUGUCGCGCUGCAGAAACCUCCACCCAUGGUUUUGCUUCUGUGGGUGUGACCAGCCUCACGUCAUCCCCCACCCCAGGGACUCCUCAUGUAGGAGGGGGCUCUCCAGCACUCUCGUCUGCUCACACCACACUCAGCCACUUCAACAGGGCUGCCACAGCAAAGAGAACACCAAAGCUGCUCCAGCCCACCCAGGCUGGAGGGCUAGGGGACACCCUGUCAUGCCGUACUUCCACGUGUCUGAGUUCAACCCCCAAGGCCUCCACCUGAAGUCCUGGCUGCCACACCCCGGAAGCGUGAGGCAUGAGCUGAGGGGACGCAGACUGAUGACAUCUUUAAAGGCACAGAGAUUGCGUCCCAAAAAAGUGAAAGAUUCUGGUCACCUGCAACACCUCCCCGAGCCAUUCCGCGUUGGCCUGGCCUCUCUGCGCCCAGUGUGGAGAAGGAAGGGGCAGAUGGGCACAGCUCCAAGAGGACCAGAUCAGCACCAGGGCGGGCGUGUGCUCUGAAACAAAGCCCACCCCAGGAGGGGAAAAACAAGCUCUGAAGGCUCACCGACACUUUUGCAAACAUCCAACUUCACGGAGACCCUAGCCCUGUGAACUGCCAGAAUCACCCACAGCAAUAGGUCCUGAGCACGCUGACGCCCAGCUGGCAGAGGGGGCUGCCCAGGUCUCAGCACGACAGCAAACUCCUGCAAAACUAGAGUGCUCACCAUGACCCCAGCCUGGGCAGCACACCUUCCUAGGCCAGGCCCACCUGACAUCUUCAAGGCCGGGUCUGGAUGCAGUGGCAAAGCCUCAAUUGUCAAUUCAGUGACCUCCUCAGCCACCUCCUUCCAGGGCCAGAGCCAGAGAGAAGGGAUAGAGGCCAGGUGGAGGCCCACCUUCCCAGCUGAUGCCCACCUGCUCCUCAGCCACUGUUCAGGCCUGAGUCGCUGAGCCAGCAGCAAGAUGUGAAUGAGGUUUGGGGAGGAUCUAGAGGGGCCAGGCUGGGGAGGUUUCACUGCCCAGAACCAGGGACAGUUCUCUCAGGUGGUCUGGAAGGAGUGGGUGAACAGCUGCUUAUCAGAAAACAUUACCUAAUUGGGGCCUAACUGGGAAGGUUUAUGGGGCCAGGCAGGGGGGCUCCCCGGGGGGGAUGGUGAAAGCCGCUCAUGAGUCAUUUGAAACUGAGCCGGACAAAGAGCUUAAGGAGAAAUGAUCCCACCCAGUCUGCCAGCCAUAGGUAGAAUGAGCUCAUGGACUCUGGGGCGCACAUGAAUGCAUGUGUGUGUGUGUGAGUGUGUGCGUGCGUGUGUGUGCAUGAGAGAGGUGUAGAGAGGGAAGGGAAGAGCGGGGAGGAAAAGAAGAGAAGAGAGAAAAAGCUGGUAGUCACACAGCUGGGACUCAGAAACUGAGCCCAGCUCUCCCCUGGGUGUGGAGCCGCCACUGUGGGCCACAUUACUGCAUGGGCAGGCUGCCCCCUGCAGGUCGGCGAGGGAAGGGCCCCGUAUCUCAGUCAACAUCGUGGUUCAGCAAUCCAGCCAGCAUCCUGGUCUAGCAUCCUCGUCCAGCAUCCCAGCCAGCUUCCUGGCCAGCAUCAGGCCAGCAUAAGCAUACCUUCUCUGCGGUGCCCAGCACAGGACCUGUUCUGGGAUAAAUGCCAAAUGGGCAUGGAGUGUUUUCUUCAGUGGGACACCAGCUGUUCACACCACUUCAUCCUCUGUGAGAUGUGUGUUGGAGAUGGAUGCAUAAUAAACAUUUUUAACAUGUUUAUUCAAAUGUUUACAACUUAUUUUGAAAGAAUGGCAGAUCCACAUGCACCUGUGAAAUAAUAAAGAGACUCCUCGUAUCCUUCACCUGGUUUCUCCCAAUGAUAACUUCUUGCAAACUGUAGGACAGUACGACAAGCCAGCAAGCUGGCAUUGACAAAAUCCAUUGACCUUGCUGCCCGCACUCAUCUGUG
RNAcentral lists this long non-coding RNA (2868 nucleotides) under Capra hircus (goat). Its description in RNAcentral is "lncRNA (ENSCHIG00000007188.1)". Lineage: Eukaryota; Metazoa; Chordata; Mammalia; Artiodactyla; Bovidae. The record is from RNAcentral.